GAGGGUAUAGCUCAGUGGAAGAGCACAUGCUUAGCAUGCAAGAGGUCCUGGGUUCAAUCCCCAGUACCUCCA
This 72-nucleotide transfer RNA is filed under the name Camelus bactrianus (Bactrian camel). It matches the Rfam family "tRNA". From Rfam's summary of the family: Transfer RNA (tRNA) molecules are approximately 80 nucleotides in length. Their secondary structure includes four short double-helical elements and three loops (D, anti-codon, and T loops). RNAcentral also lists the same sequence under 2 other names. Lineage: Eukaryota; Metazoa; Chordata; Mammalia; Artiodactyla; Camelidae. The record is from Rfam by way of RNAcentral.